GGAUUAGAUACCCUGGUAGUCCACGCCGUAAACGAUGAGUGCUCGAUGUCGGGUCUUUAAGACUCGGUGUUACAGCUAACGCAAUAAGCACUCCGCCUGGGGAGUACGGUCGCAAGAUUAAAACUCAAAGGAAUUGACGGGGACCCGCACAAGCGGUGGAGCAUGUGGUUUAAUUCGAAGCAACGCGAAGGACCUUACCAGCUUUUGACAUGGGGAUUAAGAGUUUGAGAGAUCAGACUUGUCGGUUCGGCCGGAUCCCACACAGGUGCUGCAUGGCUGUCGUCAGCUCGUGCCG
Molecule: ribosomal RNA, 295 nt
Filed under: uncultured bacterium
Lineage: Bacteria
Description: partial 16S ribosomal RNA
Rfam family: Bacterial small subunit ribosomal RNA
Source: RNAcentral